Molecule: Y RNA, 89 nt
Filed under: Prolemur simus (greater bamboo lemur)
Lineage: Eukaryota; Metazoa; Chordata; Mammalia; Primates; Lemuridae
Description: Y RNA (ENSPSMG00000020060.1)
Rfam family: Y RNA
About the family: Y RNAs are components of the Ro ribonucleoprotein particle (Ro RNP), in association with Ro60 and La proteins.
Source: RNAcentral
GGCUGGUCUGAUGGUAGUGGGUUAUCAGAAUUUAUUAAAAGUCACUAAAGUUGGCACACAAAUCCCCACUGCUAAAUUUGACUGGAAAA